RNAcentral lists this ribosomal RNA (759 nucleotides) under uncultured bacterium. RNAcentral's name for it is "bacterial SSU rRNA". It matches the Rfam family "Bacterial small subunit ribosomal RNA", at positions 173 to 949 of the family's 1533-position model. The record is from RNAcentral.
CGCACAAAAACCGCAUGGUUUGGUGUGAAAAACUGAGGUGGUAUGAGGUGGACCCGCGUCUGAUUAGCUAGUUGGAGAGGUAACGGCUCACCAAGGCUACGAUCAGUAGCCGACCUGAGAGGGUGACCGGCCACAUUGGGACUGAGACACGGCCCAAACUCCUACGGGAGGCAGCAGUGGGGAAUAUUGCACAAUGGGGGAAACCCUGAUGCAGCAACGCCGCGUGAGUGAAGAAGUAUUUCGGUAUGUAAAGCUCUAUCAGCAGGGAAGAAGAGAGACGGUACCUGACUAAGAAGCCCCGGCUAACUACGUGCCAGCAGCCGCGGUAAUACGUAGGGGGCAAGCGUUAUCCGGAUUUACUGGGUGUAAAGGGAGCGUAGACGGCUUGAUAAGUCUGAAGUGAAAGGCCAAGGCUUAACCAUGGAACUGCUUUGGAAACUAUGAGGCUAGAGUGCUGGAGAGGUAAGCGGAAUUCCUAGUGUAGCGGUGAAAUGCGUAGAUAUUAGGGAGGACCACCCAGUGGCGAAGGCGGCUUACUGGACCAGAAACUGACGUUGGGGCUCGAAAGCGUGGGGAGCAAACAGGAUUAGAUACCCCUGGUAGUCCACGCGGUAAACGAUGAAUGCUAGGUGUUGGUGGGCAAAGCCCAUCGGUGCCGUCGCAAACGCAAUAAGCAUUCCACCUGGGGAGUACGUUCGCAAGAAUGAAACUCAAAGGAAUUGACGGGGACCCGCACAAGCGGUGGAGCAUGUGGUUUAA